RNAcentral lists this ribosomal RNA (406 nucleotides) under uncultured bacterium. RNAcentral describes it as "partial 16S ribosomal RNA". It matches the Rfam family "Bacterial small subunit ribosomal RNA", at positions 30 to 526 of the family's 1533-position model. The record is from RNAcentral.
CUUGAACGCUGGCGGCAGGCCUAACACAUGCAAGUCGAACGAGUGGCGGACGGGUGAGUAAUGUCUGGGAAACUGCCCGAUGGAGGGGGAUCACUACUGGAAACGGUAGCUAAUACCGCAUACCAUCGGAUGUGCCCAGAUGGGAUUAGAUAGUAGGAGGGGUAACGGCUCACCUAGGCGACAAUCCCUAGCUGGUCUGAGAGGAUGACCACCCCCACUGGAACUGAGACACGGUCCAGACUCCUCCAAGACGCAUCAUUUUAAAAUAUUGCACAAUAGGCGCAAGCCUGAGUCAGCCAUGCCGCGUGUAUGAAGAAUCCCUUCGGGUUUUAAAGUACUUUCAGCGAGAAGGCGUUACUCGCAGAAGAAGCAUCGGCUAACUCCGUGCCAGCAGCCGCGGUAAUAC